CUGAACUCUGAUUCUCUGUUCAGCGUAACAGAGCAGUACCCGUAACCGCAUAUGUAACUCCUGUUUCACUGAAGAAUCCCAGACUCUUUUUCAUCGUUAACCUGCUAGUCAGAAAAAAGCUGCAGCCUAAAACAGAAGUAAAUGAGAGCUCCUAUGAAGGGCCUCUUUACAUGUGGAUUGCUCCAUAUCACAGGUGCCGGCAAAUAAAGACACACCAGAUGACGCUGACAGCAGAAAGAGUAAUAACACGGAAUUGGAAGAAUUGAUUUACAAGAUGCUGCAUUAGUAAACUGUAAAAGAGGGCACAUGAGCUGGAGAGAAUCAGUCUGGAUCUAAAAAUAACAAAUUAAGGAUUACAUAAGUUACCCUUAUGUACAUAUGCUGCAAUUGUAAAUCAUAUGUUAUAGAUACCACAGCUAAAAUAACAAAAAUAGUCCAAUUUACCUGCCCGUAAUCAAACACGGGCAGUGGACAGUGUUGCUUCCGUCUUUUCUGCUCUGUAUCUCUGAAUGGUUGUAUAUACAAAGAGCAGAGAAGGAAGUGAUGAAAUAAAGGUUACUAAAAGAAUAUCUGAUCUUUUUAU
Molecule: long non-coding RNA, 583 nt
Filed under: Struthio camelus australis
Lineage: Eukaryota; Metazoa; Chordata; Aves; Struthioniformes; Struthionidae
Description: lncRNA (ENSSCUG00000006063.1)
Source: RNAcentral